AGUUAAAACUUUCAACAACGGAUCUCUUGGCUCUCGCAUCGAUGAAGAACGCAGCGAAAUGCGAUAAGUAAUGUGAAUUGCAGAAUUCAGUGAAUCAUCGAAUCUUUGAACGCACAUUGCGCCUCUUGGUAUUCCUUGAGGCAUGCCUGUUCGAGCGUCACUACAAACCCUCUCAUAGUCAUUAUGGUAUUGAUGGAAGUGACCUGUGUCUAUUGAUGUACUCACACCACUCCAUUGAAAUGAAUAGGCAGGACAAGUGACAACUGCAAUGGACUUUGUAAAUGGUUUUCAGACAUGAACCAGUUCUUUGCUAUGUUGUACGGCCUGUAUCCAUGGACUCCCAUCCAGUAUGCACUUUGGGUUGACCUCGAAUCAGGUAGGGAUACCCGCUGAACUUAAGCAUAUCAAUAAGCCGGAGGAA
This 421-nucleotide ribosomal RNA is filed under the name Tuber lyonii. RNAcentral describes it as "eukaryotic LSU rRNA". The stretch from base 7 to 160 matches the Rfam family "5.8S ribosomal RNA". The record is from RNAcentral. Lineage: Eukaryota; Fungi; Ascomycota; Pezizomycetes; Pezizales; Tuberaceae.